UGCAGCGUAUUGGCUGCUCAGAAGGGGUUAUCCAUCGGUCUCCAAAACCGAGGGUUGCAGGUUCGAGUCCUGUCGCCCCUGCAA
This 84-nucleotide transfer RNA is filed under the name Natronoglycomyces albus. Its description in RNAcentral is "Glycomycetaceae bacterium DSM 106290 tRNA-Ser". Lineage: Bacteria; Bacillati; Actinomycetota; Actinomycetes; Glycomycetales; Glycomycetaceae. The record is from RNAcentral.